GCUUCGUUACUGGAUGCAUCUGGGAAUGUGAAAGAUGGCGAGAAGUACGGUAAAUGGACGUCAGCUUGUGGCAAAAACUACUUGUUCACUAAGAAAUUAGGAACCUGGCAGCAGAACAUGAAUUUUUGCUGCAGUUUAGGCCUCAAACCAAUUUGGUUAAGGAAUUCAUCAGACAUGCAAUGCUUCUCCAAUUUAACGAAAUCAAACUGGGCGCUGAAUUUGAACUACUGGACGGCGGGACGCGCGAUGGGCGCCUGGGGCCGCUGGGCCUGGUGCUCCGGCUCGCAAGCCGUCCCUUUCACCGACGGAAUUAAUUGGGCCAAGGGACAGCCGGAUAAUUCAAAUCCAGAAGAUCUUUGCGUCCACAUGCAGGUUGAUCGAAAUGGCACUGGAGUUUUUUUAUCGGACAGAAACUGCAGUCACAAAUACGUGAUCGCCUGCCAGGGUGAAGUGCUACCAAAAAAUAACAACAACUGCACUAAACCGAAAUGUCCAACUGAGUGCAGAAGAAA
This is a long non-coding RNA of Cloeon dipterum, 512 nucleotides long. RefSeq lists it as uncharacterized. The transcript has 4 exons. Lineage: Eukaryota; Metazoa; Arthropoda; Insecta; Ephemeroptera; Baetidae. The record is from RefSeq and is a predicted model, not a curated record.